UGAUCAUUUGCAUAGAGCAGACGUCUGCCGGCAAAUAAGUGAGUUUGUGCUUCUUCUUAAGCACAUCAAAGCUAUUUUAAAGCCAAAACAGCAAAUUGCAUUUUGGUGGCACUGUCAAGUGCUUAAAAGUCGUCGCUGUUGUUGUCGGGAUGGGGGGGCAGAGCGCAGCUUCCAUUGAAAGUCCAGUCAAUCGUAUUCGUACGCAAAAAGCGCAUUGCUGUUGUCGUGUUCUGAAUUUUUAUGAAACGAGCUUGGCGCUGAACACAAAAACAAACACAAAGUUGAAACAGAAAACAGCAGAGAAGAAAAAAAAAAACAAAGCGGGUUACUCUCUGAUUGAUGGGGAGUCAAGCGGAGACAACUUGUAGCUGGAGCAUGGAGCGCAACAAAUUAAGCAACUUGUGUGGUCUGGCCACCGCCAGCGACGCCACCUGGCCAGAGAGUGGCCACGAUCCGAUUCCUAUGACGAGCCAACGCCAAAUUCAGUGCACAAAACGCAGCGCCGACUGUCGCCGGACACGAGCGGCUGCUGCCUGCCUGCCUGGCCAAGUGACAUUUUAUUGGCGGCCAAGAGCAAGACAAACGUACAGUGGGACAGUGAGACGCUCAGACAAUGAGACAGUGGGACAUCGGCAGUCGCGUUUUUGCUAUUUAGAGGCAUGAAAGCAACGGCAGCCUCACAUGGAUAAUUGACAACAGUUAAUUCCGAUGCGAGUAUGUCGCAAAUUUAAUUAUUGGAUCGAUCGCGUUGCACACAGCGUCUGGGUGGUCGCCAGCAUUAAGUGGGCGUUUCAGAGCUGACCCCCUGCCCAUUCUCCGUUGCAGAUGCAGAUGUGGACUCUAGAUGCAGAGCUAAAAGCCAUUUGCCAGGAUGCAAACACACACAAAAAAAAAAGAAAGAGAAGAACGAAAGAAAUGGAUAGACAACAAGGAAUAUUUGUCGCUCAGCGGAAGCGGAAGCUGAAAGCUGCUGUGACAGUUGAGUUGCUGACAAUGACAAGAAUGCAAUGGCCACUGGGAUAAAUGGAUUGGAGUGUGGGAGUGAGAAAAUGGCAAGCUGGUUUACUGUUGACUUAAAUCGUUUAGCCAAAGUUAAACAACUUGUUCGCUUAAUUGUUAAACAAUGCGCAGCAGACAGAUAGCAGGAGCUAUAAAGCUGAUGAAGCUGACCAAGCGAUAAAUUCGAAUAGAUUAGCUUUAGGAAAUCAUAUUUAUUUGCUGUCAUUAUGAGUUAUGGCUGCAUCAAAAACAAUUAUUUUGUGCCGUAAACUUUAAUUGCUGCUCUUAAUGAACCCCUUUUUAUACAAUAUGUGCACU
Long non-coding RNA from Drosophila busckii, 1317 nucleotides. RefSeq lists it as uncharacterized. The transcript has 3 exons. The record is from RefSeq and is a predicted model, not a curated record. NCBI's taxonomy places the organism in Eukaryota, Metazoa, Arthropoda, Insecta, Diptera, Drosophilidae.